Mauremys reevesii (Reeves's turtle) is the source of this 463-nucleotide non-coding RNA. Lineage: Eukaryota; Metazoa; Chordata; Testudines; Geoemydidae. The record is from the annotation of a RefSeq genome assembly.
CCAGCCAAUUCCCCGAGAAGUUUCCCCUCCUGCAUCAGGGAGAAUGAGACUUUGGCGCCACUUACUUUUCAUUGUAGCGGCUUUGUCAGGGGCCCGUUCGCAGGUUGUUCUGACCCAGUCGGGUCUCGAAGUGAAGCAGCCCGGAGAAUCCACCCAGCUGAAAUGCGCCGUGAGCGGGUUUGUUCCUAACGACUGGUGGAUGGACUGGGUCAGGCAGCAGCCGGGAAAGGGACUGGAGUGGCUGGUUCACUAUCACAAAUCUUCAGUCACGAAUUACUACUCCCCCUCCAUCCAGGGGCGAUUCACAGCCUCCAAGGACAGCGCCAACUUCUACCUGCAAAUGACCGGCCUGAAAGCGGAGGACACCGCUGUGUAUUACUGUGCGAGAGACACAAGGAGCCAGCAGAAGGUCCUCGCCAGCUGCCGAGCCCCACCUAAGCCUCCUGCAGGAUUUAUCCACUAG